UCAUUUCCUACAGGAUACAACAAAACAACCAUUCAAUCUAAACUGGCAGAUUGAGCAAGGGCAACAAGUAGAGGAAGCUGGAAUCUGAACUACCGGUAAAAUAUGAAACUAGUUACUGCUUAGCAGUCUCAUAUAGCAGCAUUCACAUCAGGUCCAGCAAAAUACAAUCCACCGCUGGUUUUAGUUUUGUUCAAAGCAUGGAGAAGUGUGAAAAGCUAACAGUUAAGAAGGGAUAAGAGUGAUUUACCUUCGUGUCGAGUAAAGCAAAGAAAUCAUCAGGCACUCCCUUGAAUCUCUGGUAGACUGGACCAACAAUAGUGAUCAUAGCAACCUCCACAGUCCACACAGUCGAUCUCAGAGGCCCCAAGUUCUUCUUCGCGAACUCGUACAGAUUCAGCACAAACAUCAUCAUGUAAAUCACUGCCAUCCUCAAAACCCUCAGGCGCUUCAACUCCUUCUGCAACAAAAUUCAACCAAAGAAAGAGAAUCAAAACACACCUUUUCAGAUAUAGAACAAUGAAAUGUUCAUAGGCUUCUUUCCCCAGCGAUCUCGUUCAUUCUCAUCACUGAUCCCACGCACACUAGUCUGAUUCGAGUCUCCUCCGAGCAAGUUAUGAAGAUCCACAACUCUCUUAUACUGCAUCAUCGGAAGUGGAUGAUACAUUGCCUGACACAGAAAACGAAAAUUUCACAACUCCGAGUCUACAAAAUUCAGUUCCCGAUCGUCACAUUUCAUCAAAAGAGAGAACAAAUCCGAAGCACCGUGCGCGAAUUUGUGUGAUAACUGAACCAAAACGACUCCGAUUCACACAGAUGAACUGGAAAUUUCAAAGCAAGUACCAAAACAAACAUCGAUUCUAUACGACUACGAUUACAAAAGCGAUCGUCGAUCAUUACCUGAAGAAGCGCGUCCUGCUCGGUGAUCUCAGCUUCGUUCGAUUUCUCUGCAAUAAUCUGAGGAAAGUGAAGAAGAUGAUGCAGUGAGAUUAGCGGAGAGGAAAGAUCAGGAGGAAGCAGGUAUGAAGGUUUUCUCACAGAGCUUCUCCGAAGCUUACCAUUGUU
Rosa chinensis is the source of this 1062-nucleotide long non-coding RNA. RefSeq lists it as uncharacterized. The transcript is spliced from 3 exons. Lineage: Eukaryota; Viridiplantae; Streptophyta; Magnoliopsida; Rosales; Rosaceae. The record is from RefSeq and is a predicted model, not a curated record.